Molecule: long non-coding RNA, 1119 nt
Filed under: Phasianus colchicus (ring-necked pheasant)
Lineage: Eukaryota; Metazoa; Chordata; Aves; Galliformes; Phasianidae
Description: lncRNA (ENSPCLG00000002966.1)
Source: RNAcentral
GGCUCGCAGCCCUCAUUUGAGACAAGUUUCCAGAGAAAACACUUGGAGAAAGCGUUCGAUCAGUCACCGGGCUGGAGCCGCGAGACGCGAUUCCGCGGUGGCCUCAGCUCAGCUCAGCUCAGCUCAGCUCACCGCGGCGCAGCCGGCCCCGACGGCCAGCCGGGCUGCGGGCUCCCGGCAGCGAGGUGCCUCCCAUCCCCGCCCCCGCGGCUCGGCGCCGCCGCCCGCGUUACCUCCGCGCCGCUGACCGAACCCGAGCCCCGUCCCGCGGCUCCCGCCGGGGCCCCGAGCGUCCCCGCUCGCCGCUCACCUCGGGCUGCGGCGGGGCUCCCCCGGCGCCGGGCGCAACCCGGAGGAAGGGGCGGGGGGGCUCCUCCUUCCCCUCCUCGGCCCGCCCGCCGCGAGCUACCUGGGCCGCCCCCCGCCCCGGGCCCGGCCGGCCCCUGCCCUCCGUCCUCCGCCCUCCCCCCUGGGUUGCGGGCCGGGGCGGGCGCGGCCUCGCCUCCCCGCCGCCCCCCCGGGGACAUCCCCCGGCCGGGGACGGGAGCCCGGCGCCGAGCGCUCGUCCCCGCGGCUCCUGCGGGAGGGAGCAGGAAUUCGGCAAGAAUUUCUCCCGGCGGCGACCUCGGCGCUCGUGCCGGGAGAAGCCCGAGCCCGAGCCGGGCCCCCGAGGGACGCGGCGGCCGAUUUCAGCGCCGCGGACACGAGGAACCGCGUUUUACCGACGGCGCUUCGCCCGCGUUUGUGCUGGAAAUACGUUUCCCACCCCGCCCCGCAUUGUGCUCUCCGGGAGGGCUGACCCCGCGGUCCUCCGCGAGCGCCCGGGCUGAUAAGGACGGGAAAACUAUUGUAUUAACAAAAGGAACGGAAAGAAAGCGGUGUGCCCCCGCCUUCAGGGACGCCUCAAGCGGGCCCCUGGGAGGAAGGCAUCCCGGGGUGACGCCGGGCCGCGAGAACCGGCUGCACCCUUGCACGGCGCAGCCCCCAUCUGGCGGCCGCUCCGUUCACCACUCAUCAGCAAUGGAAGCGUCAGGAAUAACGUCUGUCCUUCCCCGCUCCGAGGCCGAGUUAACCAGCGGCUGUCUGCGAGGACUGCCUUCUCCUCCUGCAGGGCGCUGA